UACGUAGGAUGCAAGCGUUGUCCGGAAUUACUGGGCGUAAAGCGUGCGUAGACGGUAGCGUAAGUCAGAUGUGAAAGCCCCGGGCUCAACCUGGGAAUUGCAUUUGAGACUGCUCUGCUUGGGUGCGGAAGAGGGAAGCGGAAUUUCCGGUGUAGCGGUGAAAUGCGUAGAUAUCGGAAGGAACACCAGUGGCGAAAGCGGCUUCCUGGUCCGACACCGACGUUCAGGCACGAAAGCGUGGGGAGCAAACAGG
RNAcentral lists this ribosomal RNA (253 nucleotides) under uncultured bacterium. RNAcentral describes it as "partial 16S ribosomal RNA". It matches the Rfam family "Bacterial small subunit ribosomal RNA", at positions 524 to 776 of the family's 1533-position model. The record is from RNAcentral.